UUGGACACCGCCACACACACACACACACGCGCGCGCGGAGAACGCCAAGUGAAGAUAAAUGCAGCAGAAGCCACAAACAUCAGACUGCCAGGAAACCACCAGAAGCUAGGAGACAGGCAUGGAACAGAUUCUCCAUCUCACCCUUAGAAGGAACCAACCCUGUUGACACCUUGAUCUCCGAUUUCUAGUGCGUAAACUGAAGUUCCUAUACAGGAUUCGAACCUGUGGCCUCCCGUAGCCAAAGCCCUACCUCUGCAACCCUGAACGCCAGCCCAGGAGCAACAGCGCCUGCGCACAGCCAGCAGCCAAUGGCAAUGAUUAGCCAGAGGAUCAGACUCACCGCCAGUAAGGGUUUAAGGCAACCCUUGCUACCCUGGAAGAGCUUGGUGGACCAUCCCAGCCCCAUAACCUGAUGAUCAAUGAGGGCUAAGUGAAGGUGUUCAAACCCUUGCAGCAGAGCCCUGGACCAUAAACAGACAUUCGUUCCUGUGAUGCCA
Molecule: long non-coding RNA, 497 nt
Organism: Molossus molossus (Pallas's mastiff bat)
Lineage: Eukaryota; Metazoa; Chordata; Mammalia; Chiroptera; Molossidae
Exons: 3
Source: RefSeq, a predicted model, not a curated record